AGGCAACUUGGGGUUAUAUGGUCAAGCGAAUAAGCGCACACGGUGGAUGCCUAGGCGGUCAGAGGCGAUGAAGGACGUGGUAGCCUGCGAAAAGUGUCGGGGAGUUGGCAACAAGCUUUGAUCCGGCAAUAUCCGAAUGGGGAAACCCACUGCUUCGGCAGUAUCCUGCAGUGAAUUCAUAGCUGCUGGAAGCGAACCCGGUGAACUGAAAUAUCUAAGUAACCGGAGGAAAAGAAAUCAACCGAGAUUCCCUAAGUAGUGACGAGCGAACGGGGAGAAGCCCUUAAGCUGGAAUGGCUUUAGAAAAACAAUCUGGAAAGAUUGGCCAUAGAAGGUGAUAGCCCUGUAUUUAAAAGGGCCACUCCAGUGAAGACGAGUAGGGCGGGGCACGUGAAACCCUGUCUGAAUAUGGGGGGACCAUCCUCCAAGGCUAAAUACUCCUGACCGACCGAUAGUGAACCAGUACCGUGAGGGAAAGGCGAAAAGAACCCCGGAGAGGGGAGUGAAAUAGAUCCUGAAACCGUGUGCGUACAAGCAGUAGGAGCUCGCAAGAGUGACUGCGUACCUUUUGUAUAAUGGGUCAGCGACUUACUGUUCGUGGCAAGCUUAACCGUAUAGGGGAGGCGAAGGGAAACCGAGUCUGAUAAGGGCGCAUAGUCGCGGGCAGUAGACCCGAAACCGGGUGAUCUAGUCAUGGCCAGGGUGAAGGUGCCGUAACAGGUACUGGAGGCCCGAACCCACGUCUGUUGCAAAAGACGGGGAUGAGCUGUGAUUAGGAGUGAAAAGCUAAUCGAACCCGGAGAUAGCUGGUUCUCCUCGAAAGCUAUUUAGGUAGCGCCUCAUAUGUAUCCUCUCGGGGGUAGAGCACUGUUAUGGCUAGGGGGUCAUCGCGACUUACCAAACCAUUGCAAACUCCGAAUACCGAGACGGACUGUAUGGGAGACACACGGCGGGUGCUAACGUCCGUCGUGAAAAGGGAAACAACCCAGACCCACAGCUAAGGUCCCAAAUUCACUGCUAAGUGGAAAACGAUGUGGAAAGGCAUAGACAGCCAGGAGGUUGGCUUAGAAGCAGCCACCCUUUAAAGAAAGCGUAAUAGCUCACUGGUCGAGUCGGUCUGCGCGGAAGAUUUAACGGGGCUAAGCAGUGAACCGAAGCUUGGGGUGCAUAAAACUUGUUUUAUGCGCGGUAGAGGAGCGUUCCGUAAGCCUGCGAAGGUGGAUUGAGAAGUCUGCUGGAGGUAUCGGAAGUGCGAAUGCUGACAUGAGUAACGAUAAUGCGGGUGAAAAGCCCGCACGCCGAAAGCCCAAGGUUUCCUUGCGCAACGUUAAUCGACGCAGGGUUAGUCGGUCCCUAAGGCGAGGGCGAAAGCCGUAGUCGAUGGGAAGCAGGUUAAUAUUCCUGCACCUCGCGUGAGUGCGAUGGAGGGACGGAGAAGGUUAGGUGUACCGGGCGUUGGUUGUCCCGGGGAAAGGCGGUAGGUUUGGAUCUUUGGCAAAUCCGGGAUCCUUUAAGACCGAGCACCGAGACGAGCCUUUAUGGCGAAGUCACUGAUACCACGCUUCCAGGAAAAGCUCCUAAGCUUCAGCUCACGAAGACCGUACCGUAAACCGACACAGGUGGGUAGGAUGAGAAUUCUCAGGCGCUUGAGAGAACUCGGGUGAAGGAACUAGGCAACAUGGCACCGUAACUUCGGGAGAAGGUGCACCCUUUUUGGUGGCUCGUGCGAGCUAUAGCUGAAGAGGGUCGCAGAAACCAGGCCGCUGCGACUGUUUAUCAAAAACACAGCACUCUGCAAACACGAAAGUGGACGUAUAGGGUGUGACGCCUGCCCGGUGCUGGAAGGUUAAUUGAUGGGGUCAGCCGCAAGGCGAAGCUCUUGAUCGAAGCCCCAGUAAACGGCGGCCGUAACUAUAACGGUCCUAAGGUAGCGAAAUUCCUUGUCGGGUAAGUUCCGACCUGCACGAAUGGCGUAACGACAGCGGCGCUGUCUCCACCCGAGACUCAGUGAAAUUGAAAUCGCUGUGAAGAUGCAGCGUUCCCGUGGCAAGACGGAAAGACCCCGUGAACCUUUACUAUAGCUUUACACUGAACGUUGAGUUCGUCUGUGUAGGAUAGGUGGGAGGCUAUGAAACUGUGGCGCUAGCUGCAGUGGAGCCAUCCUUGAAAUACCACCCUGUCGUGCUUGACGUUCUAACCUAGGUCCGUUAUCCGGAUCAGGGACCGUGUAUGGUGGGUAGUUUGACUGGGGCGGUCUCCUCCUAAAGAGUAACGGAGGAGCACGAAGGUACGCUCAGCGCGGUCGGACAUCGCGCACUGUGUGCAAAGGCAUAAGCGUGCUUGACUGCAAGAUCGACGGAUCAAGCAGGUACGAAAGUAGGUCUUAGUGAUCCGGUGGUUCUGUAUGGAAGGGCCAUCGCUCAACGGAUAAAAGGUACUCCGGGGAUAACAGGCUGAUACCGCCCAAGAGUUCAUAUCGACGGCGGUGUUUGGCACCUCGAUGUCGGCUCAUCACAUCCUGGGGCUGUAGUCGGUCCCAAGGGUAUGGCUGUUCGCCAUUUAAAGUGGUACGCGAGCUGGGUUCAGAACGUCGUGAGACAGUUCGGUCCCUAUCUGCCAUGGGCGUUGGAAGUUUGAGAGGGGCUGCUCCUAGUACGAGAGGACCGGAGUGGACGAACCUCUGGUGUUCCGGUUGUCACGCCAGUGGCAUUGCCGGGUAGCUAUGUUCGGAAGCGAUAACCGCUGAAAGCAUCUAAGCGGGAAGCGCGCCUCAAGAUGAGACUUCCCGGGGCACAAGCCCCCUAAAGGAACCAUGUAGACUACGUGGUUGAUAGGUCAGGUGUGUAAGUACAGCAAUGUAUUGAGCUAACUGAUACUAAUGAUCCGUGCGGCUUGACC
RNAcentral lists this ribosomal RNA (2898 nucleotides) under Xanthomonas euvesicatoria pv. vesicatoria str. 85-10. Its description in RNAcentral is "Xanthomonas campestris pv. vesicatoria str. 85-10 23S ribosomal RNA". It matches the Rfam family "Bacterial large subunit ribosomal RNA". RNAcentral also lists the same sequence under 1 other name. Lineage: Bacteria; Pseudomonadati; Pseudomonadota; Gammaproteobacteria; Lysobacterales; Lysobacteraceae. The record is from RNAcentral.